This 76-nucleotide transfer RNA is filed under the name Nitrospinota bacterium. RNAcentral's name for it is "tRNA-His". It matches the Rfam family "tRNA". From Rfam's summary of the family: Transfer RNA (tRNA) molecules are approximately 80 nucleotides in length. Their secondary structure includes four short double-helical elements and three loops (D, anti-codon, and T loops). Lineage: Bacteria; Pseudomonadati; Nitrospinota. The record is from RNAcentral.
GUGGGCGUAGCUCAGUUGGUAGAGUACUGGAUUGUGGCUCCAGGCGUCGCGGGUUCAAAUCCCGUCGCUCACCCCA